This is a small nucleolar RNA of Gastrolobium bilobum, 102 nucleotides long. RefSeq annotates it as small nucleolar RNA Z107/R87. Lineage: Eukaryota; Viridiplantae; Streptophyta; Magnoliopsida; Fabales; Fabaceae. The record is from RefSeq and is a predicted model, not a curated record. The transcript has a single exon.
GAUCGGGGUCACGAAAUUCAAGUUCAACAGACCGGAAUGCAGGGCUUUCUCUUUUUCGGGAGAUUGCUUUGCGCUUUGACCACCCUGCUGAACAGAGUGAUC